RNAcentral lists this ribosomal RNA (441 nucleotides) under uncultured bacterium. RNAcentral describes it as "SSU rRNA". It matches the Rfam family "Bacterial small subunit ribosomal RNA", at positions 26 to 518 of the family's 1533-position model. The record is from RNAcentral.
AGAGCGAACGCUGGCGGCAGGCCUAACACAUGCAAGUCGAGCGCUCCGCAAGGGGAGCGGCAGACGGGAGAGUAACACGUGGGAACGUACCCUUCAGUUCGGAACAACCCAGGGAAACUUGGGCUAAUACCGAAUACGUCCGUAAGGAGAAAGAUUUAUCGCUGAAGGAUCGGCCCGCGUCUGAUUAGCUUGUUGGUGAGGUAACGGCUCACCAAGGCGACGAUCAGUAGCUGGUCUGAGAGGAUGAUCAGCCUCACUGGGACUGAGACACGGCCCAGACUCCUACGGGAGGCAGCAGUGGGGAAUAUUGGACAAUGGGCGCAAGCCUGAUCCAGCCAUGCCGCGUGGGUGAUGAAGGCCCUAGGGUUGUAAAGCCCUUUCGGCGGGGAAGAUAAUGACGGUACCGCAGAAGAGCCCGGCUAACUUCGCGCCAGCAGCCGC